Molecule: long non-coding RNA, 3167 nt
Filed under: Bemisia tabaci
Lineage: Eukaryota; Metazoa; Arthropoda; Insecta; Hemiptera; Aleyrodidae
Description: lncRNA ENSSSA2NGG003209
Source: RNAcentral
AUGAGCACCUCAUCACCUGCUCCAUCAGACGAUAGAUUGUUGGAAGAUGCUCCUCUUGAUUUCCGAGAAGUGUGCAGUGUCAUUGCUCCACCGGGAUAUCUACCAACUAUCAUUAGACGAAAGCUAGAGAAAUCAGCACCUGUAGUGCCACCCCCUGUAGCGGCCUCCCCCUCCGUUGCAUUGCCACCUGCUAUGGUGCCACAUGCUAUCGCAGUGUCAACUGUGAACAACGUAGAUUUUGGCAACCCCGUCCUCCUGCCGAGCAACUGUAAACCUGUAUCGUUGUCCGUGCCAGUGAUGAGUCUAUUACCCCAAGCACCACCCAAGCCAAAAGAAGCAGAUACUUAUAAUGCAGGGCCUUCUGGUGUGCAUCCCAUUAAAAUACGCCCCAAGAAGGUCAAAAAGUCGCCCAAGAAAAAACGUCCAUAUCCAGAUUUGAGUCGUUGGAAUAAAACUCCGCGGCCCCGCUUAGGAGUAGAUGAUCCGAUUCUUCCUAGACUGAAACCAAAGCCAAAGGCAGAAGCGAGUUCAUCUGAACAAAAUUCCAACCCAAAUAUUUACACAGCGCUCCCAUCAGCUGACGCCAACUCCACGCAGGCAAGCUCUGUGAAUUCAUCUCAAUCACAGACAAGUCUGCUUCAUCAAGCAGCAUCGGCAACCUCUGAAGGUAAACCUGGAAGCAUCAUCAAGCACGUCUUAGUGAAUGAGCCAGAUGCUAAUCAAGAAUCUGUGGUACAAGGAUUCUUCCUAAAUUCCUUGGAAAAGAAUCUUGUGCUGGUCUCGGACUCCAAGCAAACAGCGGCUACAUCCACCUCAAGCAAUCAGCCAGUGGGCACAUUUAUAAUCCAGAAUACCGCUCUGCACUCGUCUCUUCAGAAUGGCAAUGCGAAUGGGAAAGAAACUCCGGUUCAAAGUCUGCUCAACAGUCAGAGCCUUCUCAAUAGUUCAGCAAACUCGCCCAAUAUGACUAAUUUUGCAAUCGCCACAAGUGCAGUGAAGAGCAAGCAGGAGACACCACCUUCAAAUUCACCGAAUACGCUGCCAAAGAACAAAGGCAAUUCAAAUUCGAUUCGGUUACCUGUUGGAGGUUUGCAAGGAAAAAUCCUGCAAUGCACUUCAACUGCCGUAUCAAUCAAUAGUACAACGUGUAGCCCGAAACAACUGGCAAUCCCCAAAUCAGUUGUGUCCUCUCCAAACGUUCUUUUGUCUCUCGCGUCGCAGAAACAAUGCUCUUCCUCAGGUUUAUUUCAAAAUCCGAAUAUUAUCAGGCUCGCAGUCAAAAAUGGGAAACUUUGCCCCGAUGUGAGCAUGCCAGUUCCACCACCCGUCAACACCUCUCCACAAGUCUCUGCUGCCGAGGCUCCUAAACCUCCGCUGAAACCAAUCCAGUCACAGCAGCAAGCGGUAACACUUUCAACCCCAAAAUCACAGAUGAAUUUAUCAUUGAUAUCUGCAAUCGUUCCCCUCAACGACCCCAAAAUCAAAUCUGUACUCAAAGGCAAUGUUCUCUCGUCUCUGCUUCAUAAAGGCGAAACUGACCAAGAGAAACCAAUGGAGAACUCAUCCGAAAUACCACAUGAAAAUCCGUUUUUGUCUCUUCCGACUUCAACCGACAUCAGUGCAGCAGAUGCAGCGGUACUGUUAAAUUCAACAAACGUAGGCUCUUCACCGUCUACAGAAUCGGAAUCUACCUCGCAAAUACUCGCAGGUCCUCCUUCCAAGCCCUCCAAACCAGCAACCGGCGCUCCACCUGGGCUGUACCCGUUAGCUAUGAUGUCCUCAGAUACCACAACUACCUCUGCAAUAAUGUCUGCAAUUUCCUCAUCCUCUGUUCCCCUACUCCACAUUCCAGAGACCAUCCCAUCGCAGAAUGCCCACGCACCAUCUGCCGGGAAACCUAACGGGUCCCUCCUAGUCAUACCGGGCAUCGUUCCGUCGAGUCUCCCGUCCCUCUACUUACAUCCUAGCGGUGCUUACGUUACCUCACUCUCCUCCUUAACGUCAAAUGUUACGACUGAGUCGGGCGCUGUUAAUGAUGUGAGAGUCCCUUCAGAAAUUUUGGAGGCGAUUGCAUCCCUGUCUUCCAUUCCAGUGCCCGUGCCAGAAGUACCUCACAGCGCUAACUUGGAAAGUGUUUACAAAAAACUGCAGGAUGCAGCUGCUGUAUCGGCGUCUUUUCCAGCUUCAGCUCCUAACAGAGUAGAAUCCUUUUCUCUGCCUAAUUCAAAAGCUGAGUCUAAACAGAUGGUAUCGAGUCAUGGCAAAGAAUCCGAAAAGGAAGCUUACAGCAAUAAUUCCAAAGAAAAUCUCGUCAUUUCAGAGACUGAUAAUAAGAACAAAGAUACAGACAAUAUUCCAGACAUUCCUUUGGAUACAACGAAGAAACUACUUAAUUGGAAUGACAUCGGCGUUGGACCUUUAGCAGGCAGCUCAAUUAAGUUCCGGAUGAAUGAAUUUGGAAUGAUGGAAAUCGAUGAUAACUUCGACAAAAAGUCUGACACUGGCAGUGACUCAGUUUCGCUCAAAGACGGAAGCCUAGACGACGUGAGCACUAACAAAGAAAACUUCAACGACUUUCUUUUAUGCAAAGAGAAGGUUGUAGAAGAAAGUGUCUACUCCAAAGAAAACAGGAAUACCAACGGCUCUUCAAAGAGGAAUAAGCGUAAAGAAGGAAGGCGGGCUAUUCGAGUUGAUGAGUCUGAUGGCGACAUCGAAACUAAGCAAACUAAGCUUGAUGAAAAGCACCACUCCAACAAGAAGGCGAAAUUAGAAUCUGGUGAGAGUAGAAAGAGCGCCCUCAAGAACAAAGAUGGUGAGUUUACAUUUUAUUCCAUUUAACACAAGUUUGGGGUUUUUUUCCUCUAUCACUUUUGUAGAAAUUCUUUUCCUACCUAUUAGUGCUCUAAAUGUGGUGUCUGUCACUGUGGAAUCCAUGUGCUAUGUCACAGGUUUUCGUUGAGAUGAGAAACGUCUGUUUAACGUUGCAAUCCUGAUGAGCCUUUUCUCAGUAAGGAAUACACAUUGUUGCAGCUUGAAAAAAAAACUGUUUUUUCAGUCUUUGAGAAAAAAAUCGAUUUGAUAUUUUCAAAAAAAAUCGAGGAGCUAAGAGGAAAAAGGUCAAUUCCUUAUUUGACCAUUUUUCAGGCGAACGGAUUCUUUGAAACUAG